CCUACGGGAGGCAGCAGUGGGGAAUCUUGUGCAAUGGGCGAAAGCCUGACACAGCAACGCCGCGUGCGGGAAGAAGGCCUUCGGGUCGUAAACCGCUUUCAGCAGGAACGAAAAUGACGGUACCUGCAGAAGAAGGUGCGGCCAACUACGUGCCAGCAGCCGCGGUGACACGUAGGCACCAAGCGUUGUCCGGAUUUAUUGGGCGUAAAGAGCUCGUAGGCGGUUCAGCAAGUCGGGUGUGAAAACUCUGGGCUUAACCCAGAGCCUGCACCCGAAACUGCUGUGACUAGAGUUCGGUAGGGGAGCGGGGAAUUCCUGGUGUAGCGGUGAAAUGCGCAGAUAUCAGGAGGAACACCGGUGGCGAAGGCGCCGCUCUGGGCCGAAACUGACGCUGAGGAGCGAAAGCGUGGGUAGCAAACAGGAUUAGAUACCCUGGUAGUCCACGCCGUAAACGUUGGGCACUAGGUGUGGGUCUCUAACCAACGGGAUCCGCGCCGUCGCUAACGCAUUAAGUGCCCCGCCUGGGGAGUACGGUCGCAAGACUAAAACUCAAAGGAAUUGACGG
Molecule: ribosomal RNA, 565 nt
Filed under: uncultured Actinomycetes bacterium
Lineage: Bacteria; Bacillati; Actinomycetota; Actinomycetes
Description: bacterial SSU rRNA
Rfam family: Bacterial small subunit ribosomal RNA
Source: RNAcentral